UGGGGAAUAUUGCACAAUGGGCGCAAGCCUGAUGCAGCCAUGCCGCGUGUGUGAAGAAGGCCUUCGGGUUGUAAAGCACUUUCAGCGAGGAGGAAGGCGUUAAGGUUAAUAACCUUAGCGAUUGACGUUACUCGCAGAAGAAGCACCGGCUAACUCCGUGCCAGCAGCCGCGGUAAUACGGAGGGUGCAAGCGUUAAUCGGAAUUACUGGGCGUAAAGCGCACGCAGGCGGUUUGUUAAGUCAGAUGUGAAAUCCCCGAGCUUAACUUGGGAACUGCAUUUGAAACUGGCAAGCUAGAGUCUUGUAGAG
Molecule: ribosomal RNA, 309 nt
Filed under: uncultured bacterium
Lineage: Bacteria
Description: partial 16S ribosomal RNA
Rfam family: Bacterial small subunit ribosomal RNA
Source: RNAcentral